AACUGCUCAUUCAGAUAAUUGGUAUUUGCGCCUGUCCGAUCGGGCAAUGGCGCGAAGCUAUCAUCUGCUAGAUUAUGGCUGAACGCCUCUAAGUCAGAAUCUGUGCCAGAAACGAUGAUGUUGGUCCCGCACAUGUUAGUUGUGUUUAAAUAGAGCUUCGGCUUGUGAACCAUAAAUGUUGGCUUAGUAGCUUGGACGGAAAGGUCCUUGUUGCUCGCUGAUGAAUUGAAAUUUAGAUAUGGGCGGGGGUGAAUCCUUUGCAGACGA
Molecule: ribosomal RNA, 267 nt
Filed under: uncultured Pelagophyceae
Lineage: Eukaryota; Pelagophyceae
Description: partial Eukaryotic large subunit ribosomal RNA
Rfam family: Eukaryotic large subunit ribosomal RNA
Source: RNAcentral